CAUCAACGGAUAAAGGGAUCUGAGCAUCAAUUUGAGUGGAGGAUUUCUCAUUUUUCCUAGCUACUAUUACAACCUUUUUCAAUAACGAGAGAUCGAGAUUCAGUGAGAAAGAGCCAGGAGAUGCAGCGAUUGAAUCUGGGGGUUCUCAUGUGGGUUUCAAUCAUGGUCUUAAUUACUGAGGCGACGAUUGGGUUAAUGGCUGGAAUCAGUGGGGGUUUGUUGGUUAUUUGAUUGAAUGGUGCUGAUGUUCAUGGUACAACAACAUCGUGUACAAGACUCAAGGGUUUGCUCUGAACUUAAUUGAAGACCAAAGAAAGGGAUUUGAGGAAGUGGUUGUUGUUGAUACAGAAUUGGGGUUUUUGAUGUGGUACAAGAUUGAAUUUAAGAUGAAGUUCUUGAAGAAAAUUUCUACAACAAUGAAACCAUAGGGAAAUUGCUCAAGUCAGAAACUGGGGUUUGAAUUUGAAGAUGAAUUGAGUCGAUGUAGAUCUAUUGUGUGAAAUCUCGAUUGAGACGAGAAAUUGCAGCAACUGGGAAGUGAAUUACUGCCAUCGAUUCAUCGCUGUUUGGAGCUAUGUUCGGAGCUGAUUGAGCUGAAGAUUAGAUAGUCAGUGAAAGGCAAGCAGUGUUGUUUUGGGGUGAUUGCUGGAGUCGCAGAAUAGUCGUAGUGUUGCAGUCAUGGUUUUUGUGGUUGUUGUAGACAGUUUAGGCAUGAAUGAAGCUGAAAUUAAACAUUGAUUCCAACCGUGGGUGCUAUAAAUGAGUGGGGUUUGUUGUAUGGAGUGAAGGAAUUUGAGAUGCUGGCGUCGGUUGAAUGAUGUUGACAUUGAGCUA
Papaver somniferum (opium poppy) is the source of this 834-nucleotide long non-coding RNA. RefSeq lists it as uncharacterized. The transcript has 2 exons. The record is from RefSeq and is a predicted model, not a curated record. NCBI's taxonomy places the organism in Eukaryota, Viridiplantae, Streptophyta, Magnoliopsida, Ranunculales, Papaveraceae.